Molecule: long non-coding RNA, 741 nt
Organism: Pantherophis guttatus
Lineage: Eukaryota; Metazoa; Chordata; Lepidosauria; Squamata; Colubridae
Source: RefSeq, a predicted model, not a curated record
UGUAAGUCACUUUUUCCAGUGUUGUAACUUCAAAUUUUGAGAUUGGGUGAUAGGAUUAUACCCUGAAUAUUGUGAGGGGCCAUAUCCAGAAUAAUGUAUAUUUAUUAAACUCAGGUCAACAGUUUGAUGGAACUCUAAAGUAAGGCAAUUAACCACAGAGAUACUGCUUUAGAAAUAAAUGAAGAAUGAGAAGUUACGUUGCAAUUAAAAGGACAGGAAACUCUAAGGAUCCUUCUGAAAGGACAAUCCUGGAAUCUUAAGAUGUUUUUCAAAGGAUACAAUAAGCACACUGAGUUUGUGACAACAGAACACAUAGGCAUCUAUGUUGCUCAGUGAUGGAUGGUUUAUUUUAAUCUACGAUCAUUGACUCAUUGUAAAUGCAGAUAUUAUGUCCCUAGUUCUGCAGCAUCUAUAUAAGAUCAUCAGCUACUUUUAGAAUAAGGGCCAUUUUGCAGUCUUAAAAUGGUAGCAUUUCAUCCUGUACUCAUAGCUGUAAACUAACAGGACUCUCCCUGCAUUUGUUGUAAAGAAAUGAGUUACUAUUAACAAUAAUUUGCUUAUACAAGUGUCUUCAUUUUUGUGAUGCUUUAAUAAAAAGAAAGACAUCCUGUUUUAUGAUAAAUAUAGAAACGAAUGAAGAAUAGCAACAGCUUCAGUAUUGCCAGAAUACCAACAUAGACUUCAAAGUGAAAGCAAGUUAUCCAUGGAAUUGAUUAAAAUAAAAUAUGCUUGUUAAAAGAA